RNAcentral lists this ribosomal RNA (460 nucleotides) under uncultured bacterium. Its description in RNAcentral is "partial 16S ribosomal RNA". It matches the Rfam family "Bacterial small subunit ribosomal RNA", at positions 338 to 795 of the family's 1533-position model. The record is from RNAcentral.
CCUACGGGCGGCAGCAGUGAGGAAUAUUGGUCAAUGGACGAGAGUCUGAACCAGCCAAGUAGCGUGAAGGAUGACUGCCCUAUGGGUUGUAAACUUCUUUUAUAUGGGAAUAAAAUGUUCCACGUGUGUGAUUUUGUAUGUACCAUAUGAAUAAGGAUCGGCUAACUCCGUGCCAGCAGCCGCGGUAAUACGGAGGAUCCGAGCGUUAUCCGGAUUUAUUGGGUUUAAAGGGAGCGUAGGCGGAUUGUUAAGUCAGUUGUGAAAGUUUGCGGCUCAACCGUAAAAUUGCAGUUGAAACUGGCAGUCUUGAGUACAGUAGAGGUGGGCGGAAUUCGUGGUGUAGCGGUGAAAUGCUUAGAUAUCACGAAGAACUCCGAUUGCGAAGGCAGCUUACUGGACUGCAACUGACACUGAGGCUCGAAAGUGUGGGUAUCAAACAGGAUUAGAUACCCUAGUAGUC